AUUGCUCCCCUCAUGGUGGGAUGCUGUUCUUUAGUUGUACUUGAGCUCAUCGUUGGCUUCCGGAAAGAGUAUAAACAUCCAGAGGCACCAACUGUUUUCCACUGUCCAUCUAUCAUUAACAUAUUUCCAUCCAAUAUGUAAGUUGGCAAGUCCCUAACGGGAAAGCUCAAUGAUUUAUAAAGUAAAGCUAGCAGUUUAUACAUUGAUGCUAAACAAAUUCUGAGUUUCAAUCAGGGUAACAAUGUUCUACGGCUCAUCUUGCUUAAUCCUUAUAAUUAUUGCCG
This 284-nucleotide long non-coding RNA is filed under the name Actinidia chinensis (golden kiwifruit). Its description in RNAcentral is "long non-coding RNA (ACHI_LNC002072)". Lineage: Eukaryota; Viridiplantae; Streptophyta; Magnoliopsida; Ericales; Actinidiaceae. The record is from RNAcentral.